GAUGAACGCUGGCGGCGUGCCUAACACAUGCAAGUCGAACGGAACUAUUUUGGAAACUCCUUCGGGAGCGGAAUCUUUAGUUUAGUGGCGGACGGGUGAGUAACGCGUGAGCAAUCUGCCUUUAAGAGGGGGAUAACAGUCGGAAACGGCUGCUAAUACCGCAUAAAGCAUUGAAACCGCAUGAUUUUGAUGCCAAAGGAGCAAUCCGCUUUUAGAUGAGCUCGCGUCUGAUUAGCUGGUUGGCGGGGUAACGGCCCACCAAGGCGACGAUCAGUAGCCGGACUGAGAGGUUGAACGGCCACAUUGGGACUGAGACACGGCCCAGACUCCUACGGGAGGCAGCAGUGGGGAAUAUUGCGCAAUGGGGGAAACCCUGACGCAGCAACGCCGCGUGAUUGAAGAAGGCCUUCGGGUUGUAAAGAUCUUUAAUCAGGGACGAAACAAAUGACGGUA
RNAcentral lists this ribosomal RNA (453 nucleotides) under uncultured bacterium. Its description in RNAcentral is "bacterial SSU rRNA". It matches the Rfam family "Bacterial small subunit ribosomal RNA", at positions 28 to 477 of the family's 1533-position model. The record is from RNAcentral.